AAGAAAGCAGUGAAACGAAGAAAACAAAAAGAGAAAAUCAUAUCAUCUGAGGUUCAAAGAUAAAGAAAGUAACAUGUCAGGUAUUUGAGUACUACAGAAGACAAAAUAAAUCAGAGUGCAAAAGGAAUAAUACAGAGCUAGGAAUAAUAGAAAUUAUUGACAACAUCCUGGCUAUAAAAUGCAUUGGAAUGGAGAUGGGAAAAAAUGCAUUCUACCAUUUGAUAGCCCAGAAUGAAUAACUUUAAGAAAAUGUACAUGUAGUGAAAUAACUUUUAUGGAGAUAUGCUAAACUGGAUAUUAAAAGGAUUUAACAUAAGACGGAGCCAGAAAUAGUGACAAAACAAAGUGUAGCAGAAAACAAAAGGAACACUCUUGUGAAUAAAAAACCAUGUCGGAAAACAGAACUAGCUGUAUAAAAUGAGUUAUCAAUGCCUUCAUACCGAGCUUGGAUAUUGCAACAUAAACUGUAAUGAUAUUAUACAAAUGGGAUAAAUGAACUAUCAUGAAUAGACUUUAUAAUUUUCAUUCUAUAGAUCUGAUUUAGCAACGU
Molecule: long non-coding RNA, 550 nt
Organism: Mytilus californianus (California mussel)
Lineage: Eukaryota; Metazoa; Mollusca; Bivalvia; Mytilida; Mytilidae
Exons: 3
Source: RefSeq, a predicted model, not a curated record